ACGUCACGAUCGAUUGGUUGACGGUCGCUCAUUAUUGGCUAUAAUGCAUUGUUGCAACUAGAAUAGCAUUUCAGCCAAUAACGACAAUUGCGAUUGUAAUAAUGAUUGACGCAGGUUUUACGGAAUCGAGCUACUGUUCUAAAUCUAGUGAU
Maniola jurtina (meadow brown) is the source of this 152-nucleotide long non-coding RNA. RefSeq lists it as uncharacterized. Lineage: Eukaryota; Metazoa; Arthropoda; Insecta; Lepidoptera; Nymphalidae. The record is from RefSeq and is a predicted model, not a curated record. The transcript is spliced from 3 exons.